UUCUUAAUAAUUUAAUAAAAAUAUCUACUUUGGAUGUAGAAAACUCUAAAAAUAAUAAU
This 59-nucleotide transfer RNA is filed under the name Agelena silvatica. RNAcentral's name for it is "tRNA-Pro". The record is from RNAcentral. Lineage: Eukaryota; Metazoa; Arthropoda; Arachnida; Araneae; Agelenidae.